This 1353-nucleotide long non-coding RNA is filed under the name Pongo abelii (Sumatran orangutan). RNAcentral's name for it is "lncRNA (ENSPPYG00000035079.1)". Lineage: Eukaryota; Metazoa; Chordata; Mammalia; Primates; Hominidae. The record is from RNAcentral.
CCUCAGUGCACCGCAGCGAAGUCGUCUUGGGCGCGGGUUCCUGGAUCGGAUCGUCUGCCCGCGGGAGGGGCGGGACUGCUUAGUUACGGGGGGAGGGCCUGAGAAAUCCAGGGAGAAAGGAAGGUGGCUUGACCUCAUCUACUCGUGUCUGCAUUUUACCAAGCGCCGACCCUUGUAUCUCGUGAACUGAAACGCACCAUCCUUCCCCGCUGAUCUAACAAGAAUCUACAGAACUCGCUUUCCCAGGGUAGGGAGGCUGGAUGUCCACCACACAGAGCUUGGAGCUCACUCCUGGCUGUGUCACACGGAGCCUGGGUGGGCUGAGCAUUUGCAGUUUUCAGCAGCUUCCAAAGGACCCUACUGAGCAGCCAGGGGAGUCCCGUGAGAGUGAAGAGUGAGUGACUUCCCUCCUGCACAGUUCUGCAGCCUCUGCCCCAUCUACCUCCACGCCUGGUUCCUGCUGCAGCCUCUGCCCCAUCUACCGCCAUGCCUGUUCCUGCUGCAGCCUCUGCCCCAUCUACCGCCACGCCUGUUCCUGCUGCAGCCUCUGCCCCAUCUACCCCCACACCCAGCUCCUGCUGCAGCCUCUCCCCCAUCUACCGCCACGCCUGUUCCUGCUGCAGCCUCUGCCCCAUCUACCUCCACGCCUGUUCCUGCUGCAGCCUCUGCCCCAUUUACCGCCACGCCCGGCUCCUGCUGCAGCCUCUGCCCCAUCUACUAUCACGCCUGUUCCUGCUGCAGCCUCUGCCCCAUCUACCUCCACGCCUGUUCCUGCUGCAGCCUCUGCCCCAUCUACCUCCACGCCUGUUCCUGCUGCAGCCUCUGCCCCAUCUACCUCCACGCCUGUUCCUGCUGCAGCCUCUGCCCCAUCUACCUCCACGCCUGUUCCUGCUGCAGCCUCUGCCCCAUCUACCUCCACGCCCAGCUCCUGCUGCAGCCUCUGCCCCAUUUACCUCCACGCCUGUUCCUGCUGCAGCCUCUGCCCCAUCUACCUCCACGCCUGUACCGCCACGCCCAGCUCCUGCUGCAGCCUCUGCCCCAUCUACUGCCACGCCUGUUCCUGCUGCAGCCUCUGUCCCAUCUACCGCCAUGCCUGGUGACCAUCACUUCCUCGGCCAGAAAUCUCUCUGCCCCCUCCAGGCCCCCGUUUUGCCUGUUCAGACCCCUUCUAGGACUAUUUCUGCAACUCACGUACAAGUCUGAAGUUAGACUAUUUCUGCAACUCACAUACAAGUCUGAAGUUAGACUAUUUCUGCAACUCACAUACAAGUCUGAAGUUAGUUCAAAUAAAAAGUUAAAAAGGAAAGAGAGAAAUAGAAAAUCACUAUUAGGGCCGGGCACAGUGGCUCACGU